Molecule: unclassified non-coding RNA, 256 nt
Filed under: uncultured fungus
Lineage: Eukaryota; Fungi
Description: partial contains small subunit ribosomal RNA, internal transcribed spacer 1, and 5.8S ribosomal RNA
Rfam family: Eukaryotic small subunit ribosomal RNA (bases 1-73)
Source: RNAcentral
UCAAACUUGGUCAUUUAGAGGAAGUAAAAGUCGUAACAAGGUAACCGUAGGUGAACCUGCGGUUGGAUCAUUAACAAAUAAUAGAAGCGCCUUCCAGGCGACUCUUGACAUUUUGUGAACCGUUAUUGUCUCUGGGGGGAGCCAUUGGCUCCCCCAACUUUGAACCUUGUAGUAUCAUUUGUCUUAUUAAAAAGUUUAAUUAAAAACAACUUUUGGCAACGGAUCUCUAGGCUCUCGCAUCGAUGAAGAACGCAGC